Molecule: non-coding RNA, 2559 nt
Organism: Hydra vulgaris (swiftwater hydra)
Lineage: Eukaryota; Metazoa; Cnidaria; Hydrozoa; Anthoathecata; Hydridae
Source: RefSeq, a predicted model, not a curated record
GAAAUUUGAUCAAAUUUCAAAAAGAAAACGCAUCAAAAAGAAUGCAUCAUCAAUUGAUGAUGCGUUCUUUUCACUUGAUUAGAAACUUAAGUAGUAGCUAAAUAGGACGGUUCAUUUUGUGAAAAUAUAACUGCUUUAAAUGGUUUAAAAAUUUUGGUUUUGUUCUUUCCAUCUUUUUUAUUUGUUUUCAAAAUUAAAAAAUUACUUAUUCACAUCAUUGUUCUUAUUCUAAAAAUAAACUUGAAAAUUUUUAAAAUUUUUAUAAAUUAAAAAUUGAUAAUUUAAAUUUUAUUAAAGGAUUCUCUGGAUUGUUUAUCUGUAACUGUAAGUUUGAUUACAGGUUAUAAUCUAUCUAUUCAAUACACUAUUGUGAUUACAAAUCGGUCUUCUUUAAACUGUUUCUUUCAAAGCAAAAAACGUUCAACUUCAAAAGUGAACAAAAAUGGAAAUGUACACCAUUUGCUUGGAGGAAAAUAUUUCAAUCCGGAUGUUAAUGUGCUUGAAGAAACUAAAACUGCCCUCAUACUAACAUUGUGUCUGAAUGUGACUUUGCUUCCUAUGACCGCAGGUAAAAAAUAUGAAGGUACUUUGCUUCCUAUAUAUGAAAAUAUAAAGACUUUGCUUCCUAUGACCGCAGGUAAAAAACAUGACAACAGUAGCUGCAGCUGGUGUCAUCAUGUUUAAUAACAACAAAACAGCUGAUUAGUUAGAUGUAAAAUCAUAGGAAGAAAUUGAAAGGCUAGUUAUACUAGCAAAAUAGAAAAGAGUAUAUGAGAAAGUACAAAGAAAAGAAAGCAAAUAUAUUGCGGUACAAAUUUGAUGAUGGAUAAGCUUAACCUAGAAAAGAAAAGAAAGGAAUAAAAGGCAAGCAAAGAAAGAGAGUUUUUAACAACAGAAAAUAGACUGAAAACUACUAAAAAUGAAGUUGUAAUAAAGUUGCAAAGACAAAUUAAAUUUCAAAAAAAAGUAUUACAGCAAAAAUUUCCAGAAAAGUGGUUACAAUUAGGCGAAAAAGGCCAAGGUGAAAAAUAUAAAAAAUUUAGAGGCAUUAGAGGCAUUAAAAACCAACCUGCUAUCAAUUUUUAAAUUUUUAAGACGCUCCAGUACAAUAAGCAAUAACAAUAAAAUUUUCAGUAAUCAGACAGAAAAAAGAGAGAUGUUGAUAGUAAAAAAAAUUUAGAUUAGAGAGUGACAAUAGAAAUUUAAAAUAAUAGGAACAGGUGCAUCAAAGGAAGGGCCUUCCAAAGUUUUUAGGAAAAAGAAUUAAACAUAAGACAGUAAAUAAAGAAGGCAAAGAUAAAUGGUAUUCAGGGCUAUUAGUAAGUGUUUUAGAUAAAAAUGAAUUUGAUGAGGAAUGUGAGCUUGAGGUAAUUUAUUAUGGAUUUGAAGAUGAAUAUGAUAUUUAGUUGGUCAAAGACUGGAGGAUGAAAUGUGUUGUGAUUAAAGGAAAAGCUGAUGGGUUUGUGGAGAGCGAAGUUAGAAAAAAGCAAAAAUUUUGGUAAUGCCAUUUUUGAUGCAAUUUUCAAUUCAAUUUCAAUUUAAUAUAUUUGUGUUUUUGUUCUGUUUAGUCAUCUGGAGUGGUGUUGGCACACCUACAAUUCUUUAUAUGUGUACUUGUCUUCUGUUGGAACUCUGCAGUGGUGUUGAAAUACCGAUGGUAAGCUCAAGUGUAAAGUAAUUAUUUUUGGUAACUUCUUUUUUGCAGAUUUGUGAUAACUUCUUUCAUACAGAUUUGUGACUACAUGCAUAUGGGAAGUAGUUCGUAUUAAUUGCAGGACCAUUUGCUCAAACAUCAAUAUGGAACAAAUAUGUCAUGAGCUGCAUCAGUUUUUUUUCCAAUCGGCCUGUUGCCUAAGCAUUAACAAGCAAGGAAGUUGUAAUGGUUACAAAAGCAAUUAUAAAUUUGGAAACAACCUUUGCGUUUUUUUCUGUAAUAAGUACAGAUAAUGGAACUGAAUUAUGAGAAGACUGUAUUGUCAGUAAUUUGUUGAAUCAGGAAAGCAACUCUUCUCAAUCCAUAAAAACUUUGCAAACAAGUUUGAAAAAUCAGAUUGAAGUAUUGGCACCAGUUGGGUUACUUUUACUUAAAGAGCUACCAAAUCAAACUGACCUAAAAUGAAGGCAGCCUGAGAUAAUCAAACCGAGUGAUAAAACAAUUCAUCAUAUCAACCCUUUGGGUGAAUUUGAAAUGAGUGUACUUAAAGUUCUUAAUGUUCAACAAAAUAUGUCAAAUAAAAUAAUAUACAUUAAACGUCCAAUAUAGAUUAAAAAGGAAAUUCGAAUAUCUAGAAGAUACUACUCUAAUGAUAAAUUUACAAAAAUUGUUGACGAAAUAACCAUAAAAUAAACCAAUGGAAUACUUAUAAAUUGCGAAGAAUUAAUAGCAAGUUCUCUGAAUAUGGAAUAGCGUUCCGUGGACCAAGACUAUAGAACACUUCAAAAAGCAAAAAGUUUAAAUACGUUAAAAUCUUUAAACUUCUUUAAGUUUCUAAUUAAAAAAAAUGUUAGAUUUGAUAAAUAUGUGUUUAUGUUGUGUUCAUAAUAUAUUCUACUUAAAGA